RNAcentral lists this ribosomal RNA (440 nucleotides) under uncultured bacterium. Its description in RNAcentral is "partial 16S ribosomal RNA". It matches the Rfam family "Bacterial small subunit ribosomal RNA", at positions 338 to 795 of the family's 1533-position model. The record is from RNAcentral.
CCUACGGGUGGCAGCAGUGGGGAAUAUUGCACAAUGGGGGAAACCCUGAUGCAGCGACGCCGCGUGAGUGAAGAAGUAUUUCGGUACGUAAAGCUCUAUCAGCAGGGAAGAAAAUGACGGUACCUGACUAAGAAGCCCCGGCUAACUACGUGCCAGCAGCCGCAGUAAUACGUAGGGGGCAGGCGUUAUCCGGAUUUACUGGGUGUAAAGGGAGCGUAGACGGCAGCGCAAGUCUGGAGUGAAAUCCCAUGGCUUAACCAUGGAACUGCUUUGGAAACUGUGCAGCUAGAGUGCAGGAGAGGUAAGCGGAAUUCCUAGUGUAGCGGUGAAAUGCGUAGAUAUUAGGAGGAACACCAGUGGCGAAGGCGGCUUACUGGACUGUAACUGACGUUGAGGCUCGAAAGCGUGGGGAGCAAACAGGAUUAGAUACCCCAGUAGUC